Molecule: ribosomal RNA, 309 nt
Filed under: uncultured bacterium
Lineage: Bacteria
Description: bacterial SSU rRNA
Rfam family: Bacterial small subunit ribosomal RNA
Source: RNAcentral
AACGAACGCUGGCGGCGCGCCUAAUACAUGCAAGUACGAACGAGAAGGUGUAGCAAUACACUUGUACAGUGGCGAACGGGUGAGGAAUGCAUGGGCAACCUACCCUCGAGGUGGGGAAUAACCAGACCGGAAAGGUUGGCUAAUACCGCGUACGCUUCCGGGUCUCCGGAUCCGGAAGGAAAGUCACACCGUGGGUGUGACGCUCAAGGAUGGGCUCAUGUCCUAUCAGCUUGUUGGGAGGUAACGGCUCACCAAGGCAACGACGGGUAGCUGGUCUGAGAGGACGAUCAGCCACACUGGCACUGCGAC